This 403-nucleotide ribosomal RNA is filed under the name uncultured bacterium. RNAcentral describes it as "partial 16S ribosomal RNA". It matches the Rfam family "Bacterial small subunit ribosomal RNA", at positions 28 to 526 of the family's 1533-position model. The record is from RNAcentral.
GACGAACGCUGGCGGCGUGCCUAAUACAUGCAAGUCGAACUCAGUGGGGCCGGGUGAGUAACACGUGGGUAACCUCCCCUCAGAGGGGAUAACACUUGGAAACAGGUGCUAAACCGAUACUGAUGGAUGGACCCGCGGUGCAUUAGCGAGUUGGUGAGGUAACGGCUCACCAAGGCCACGUUGCAUAGCAGACCUGCGAGGGGGUUGGGCCACAGUGGGACGGAGACGCGGACCAGACUCCUAUGGAAGGCAGUGGUAGGGAAUCUUCGGAAAGGGACGAAGGUCUGACCGAGCAACGCCGCGUGAGUGAAGAGGGUUUGCGGAUCGGAAAGCUCUGUUGUUAGAGAAGCGGUAUCUACCCAGAAAGCCACGGCUAACUACGUGCCAGCAGCCGCGGUAAUUC